Molecule: ribosomal RNA, 447 nt
Filed under: uncultured bacterium
Lineage: Bacteria
Description: bacterial SSU rRNA
Rfam family: Bacterial small subunit ribosomal RNA
Source: RNAcentral
UCGGGAAUUUUGGGCAAUGGGGGAAACCCUGACCCAGCAACGCCGCGUGAAGGAUGAAGUAUUUCGGUAUGUAAACUUCGAAAGAAUAGGAAGAAUAAAUGACGGUACUAUUUAUAAGGUCCGGCUAACUACGUGCCAGCAGCCGCGGUAAUACGUAGGGACCAAGCGUUGUUCGGAUUUACUGGGCGUAAAGGGCGCGUAGGCGGCAUGACAAGUCACUUGUGAAAUCUCUGGGCUUAACCCAGAACGGCCAAGUGAUACUGUCGCGCUAGAGUGCAGAAGGGGCAAUCGGAAUUCUUGGUGUAGCGGUGAAAUGCGUAGAUAUCGAGAGGAACACCAGUGGCGAAGGCGAAUCUCUGGACAAAUCCUGACACUGAGGCACGAAAGCCAAGGGAGCAAACGGGAUUAGAUACCCUCGUAGUCCCUGAGCGGGCUGGCAAGGCGCAU